GCCGGGGUGGCGGAACGGUAGACGCGGAGGACUUAAAAUCCUCUGGGCGAGAGCCCGUGUGGGUUCGACUCCCACCCCCGGCA
Molecule: transfer RNA, 83 nt
Filed under: Actinomycetota bacterium
Lineage: Bacteria; Bacillati; Actinomycetota
Description: Actinobacteria bacterium tRNA-Leu
Rfam family: tRNA
About the family: Transfer RNA (tRNA) molecules are approximately 80 nucleotides in length. Their secondary structure includes four short double-helical elements and three loops (D, anti-codon, and T loops).
Source: RNAcentral